Molecule: ribosomal RNA, 579 nt
Filed under: Trichosporon asahii
Lineage: Eukaryota; Fungi; Basidiomycota; Tremellomycetes; Trichosporonales; Trichosporonaceae
Description: eukaryotic LSU rRNA
Rfam family: Eukaryotic large subunit ribosomal RNA
Source: RNAcentral
GGCGAGUGAAGCGGGAAGAGCUCAAAUUUGAAAUCUGGCAGUCUUCGAUUGUCCGAGUUGUAAUCUAUAGAGGCGUUUUCCGUGCCGGACCGUGUCCAAGUCUCCUGGAAAGGAGUAUCAAAGAGGGUGAUAAUCCCGUACUUAACACGACCACCGGUGCUCUGUGAUACGUCUUCUACGAGUCGAGUUGUUUGGGAAUGCAGCUCAAAAUGGGUGGUGAAUUCCAUCUAAAGCUAAAUAUUGGCGAGAGACCGAUAGCGAACAAGUACCGUGAGGGAAAGAUGAAAAGCACUUUGGAAAGAGAGUUAAACAGUACGUGAAAUUGUUGAAAGGGAAACGAUUGAAGUCAGUCGUGUUCUUUGGAUUCAGCCAGUUCUGCUGGUCUACUUCCUUGGAACGGGUCAACAUCAGUUUUGUCCGGUGGAUAAAGGUAGUAGGAAUGUGACUUCUCCGGAAGUGUUAUAGCCUAUUAUCACAUACACUGGGUGAGACUGAGGACUGCAGCUCGCCUUUAUGGCCGGCCUUCGGGCACGUUCGAGCUUAGGAUGUUGACAUAAUGGCUUUAAACGACCCGUCUUG